Molecule: long non-coding RNA, 3274 nt
Filed under: Homo sapiens (human)
Lineage: Eukaryota; Metazoa; Chordata; Mammalia; Primates; Hominidae
Description: HSALNT0297770
Source: RNAcentral
AUAAGCCCAAACCAGACAGUUUAGGAAGGUCAUUCUACUUAGGAGGAGAGUAAAUAACAUUUUACAAAUGACUUUGGAGUUGCCUGGGUUUUUUUCUUUUUAAAAGUCUCCCUUUGCUAGUGGAAGUCACUGGGGAAUGGAUGAUAUGGCAAGUGCUUGCUGUUCUUGGAGUUCGGGUUCACUACUCCCCUUCUCAUGCAAGGGACUGAGAUGGUACUGGUGGGCUCAGGAGCCAGGUUCUAGAUUACUGCUGUCUUAGCUGGCAACUAGGGCAGUCGAAACCAAAAGCCUCAGAAGUCCUGUUCAAUGAGGGUAAAUAUUUGAAUGGAUUGAACAGAUGAGUGUGUGUAUAUUUAGAAACUCACACCCAGUAGAGAAAGAACCUCUGGAGACGGGAUCUCUCUAUAUUGCCCAGGCUGGUCUUGAACUCCUGGCCUCAAGCAAUCCUCCCACCCCGACCUCCCAGAGCACUGGGAUUACAGCCCCUGGCAACCACCAUUCUAUUUUCUGUCUUUAUGAAUUUGGCUACUCUUAAAACUGCAUGUAAGUGGAAUUAUAUAGUAUUUGUCUUUUUGGGACUGGUUUAUUCCACUUAGCAUAAUGUCCUCAAGGUUCAUCUGUGUUGUAGCAUGUGUCAGAAUUUCCUCCCUCUCAAGGAUGAAUAGUAUUCCACUGUAUUUUGUUCAUCGCUUCAUCCAUUGAUGAACCCUUGGGGUGAGGACUUUUACAUGGCUUGCUCACCAGUGACUAGAACAGAUCCUGGCUUUAAAAGUAACUCAACAGGUAAUAGUUGAAUGAAUUUUAGUUAUGUUGAACGGGAGGUGAUAGUGGGACACCCAAGUGGGCUGUCCAACAGGUAUUCCUGGAUGUCUCAGGACUAAAGGUUGGAAUCGCCUUCAUGGGUAGGGGGUAAAGACAGUGGUGUGAAGGUGCUCCCAGGGACGGGGUUGAACAAUAGGAGCAGGGGCCUGGGGCUAGCACAGGUGGGACCAGAGUCAUGACAGAUGCAGGAAAGGUGGUCUCAGGACAGUGGUACAGGCCAGAACACGAGAUCAGGGGAAAUGUACCCAGUACAGCCAGAGCCAUUAAGUGCUAGGCAGUAGGCAAGGCACUAGGACUAGCAACACGUGUGAGGCAGACGUAAAGAUUCAUCAGCACAAAUCAUUCUAAGGCCUCGUGGAAGUGGAAGUCUUGAACUUGAGUGUGGACUUGAAAUACAGUUGGACUCUGCACUAUGAAGAGGAGAGAGAAGGACACCACAAGUGAGAAAGCGUUGAGAAAAGGAGCUUGGUGGAAAGAAUGGGAGGGUACAGGGCACAAAAGGAGACCAGAAUGAUGAGGCAGUGGACUUGCGGGGGACGUGGGAGGCAGGGUCGGCACUUCUUUUAUUUCUUUCCCUUUAAAGUUGAUCAAGAGUUGGCAGUUGGGAAGCUUAAGUAAUCUACAUCUAAACACUACAUCUAAUGUAACUCCUACUUAAAAUUACUGGACACCAAAAAAUCCCCAGGCAAGCUUAUUGCCCUGUAUGUAUGGUAGAAUAUUGUAACAUGGACAGUGGUAGUUGUAAAGACCUGGUUGCAUGUGACAGAUGCACUUGCUCAAAUAUGAGUGUGGCGAUUUCUCAGUCACAUGCUGAAAAAUCAAGAGCCUCUAGUCAAUUUAACCAGUAUUCACUGGGCUGCAGCUGAGAGCCCUGCUUAACACUAGAUGCUGGGAUAGAAAGACAAAAAGGUGAGAUUAAGAAGUAAGAGUUAAGCCUGGGCUGUACCUAGACUUACCUGAGUUUUAGAGACCUUCCUUUCCACAGAUAUUGGGCUGAAAACUGAGAAAGUGGAUGCCUCGUCUGCUCCCAUCUUACUCUCUGCAGCUUCCUACACAACUGCUGGGCUCCCAAUGCUCUGCUCUGGGGCCAGGCAAAAGUCUGUACUCUCAUGCAUACGCACUUCUGAAAAAGCGGCUUGGUAACUUCUUAGGUACACCCACAAGGUUGGCCCCAGAUCUCAAGGAAAUCCUCAGAAAUGGUUUUGAAAGAUAAUAUCCAGCUAACUCCCCCAAAUUCAGGAUCCCUAGAAGCUAUUUAUCUUCUAGGGAUUGCCUAGAGUAUUCCUACAGGAUGUAAAUGAAGGAUGCAAGCACGUGGAGCAUGAGUAUUCUAUACAGGGAACCAGUCGGAUGCCACCCACCAGUGCCAGAACGAAGGCAGAGAGCAUGGGGUUGGAGAGGCCAGAGACCCUACGUGCUUCUGAAUAAUGGGGUGUCCCUGCCAGAGCUAGGAAGCGUGAGGUGUCACCCUACCAGCCUACAGCUCUGAGUGCUAAAAGGGAAUCCGGGACCCUGAAGGAAGCUUUGAGUCUCUGGGCUUGUGCCUGUCAGAUCUCUGACACCACUAUUUACCUAUGUUCCACAAUAGGUUACCUUAGCAUUCAGCUUAGUCUGGUCUUAGCAUCUAAGAGACAAGGUUUCAGGGAGCCUUAUGUAUAAGCAAUAAUGUAGUGAUGAUGCUAACUUUAUUAAGUGUUUAGUGUGUCCUAGGUGCUGUUCUGUUUUCUAUGUAUUCACUCAUUUAAACCUCACAGUAACUCUGAGAUAACUGUUAUAUUUGACAGAUGAGGAAACUGAGUCACAGAGAGCUAUAAUAUCUUUCCUGAGAUCACUCAGCUAGUAAUAAGCAGAGACAGAAAUUGCACCGGUCCUGCUCCAGAGUCUGCAUUCUUAGGGAAACAGCUCCAGUGGGAUGUGUAGGAGCCACCAGAGGCCAGAGCAGAGAGGUCAGCUGCUGACCAAUCACACUCCUAGAUCCAGUUUCUCCCUGUCAGAGCCAGCUGCCCCUGCUGCUUCAGAGAGGGGGCUGUGGCCCUGUUGUUUUACCUAGGUUUGCCAGGAGGAUUAUUAGCCUCUUCCUCGUGUCAAAACAAGCCAAGCAGGAAAAAAAACCAACAAGCAACUCAUGACUUGCAGCAGAAAAAACCCUGCGGUCUCUCCAGCAGGAGGGGAGACCUCAGCUGCAGGGGCCCGAAGGUCCCAGGUUACAACCUGGUCUUAGGCAUAUAUUGCUGAGAAGGGCCUUGAGGUCCCCUCGUUUCAGUCAGGAUGCUGAGGCCUGGCUCACCAUAAUGCCCAGUCUCCACAGCAGCCUGCCUUCUCUGCUCUCCUGCUACACCCCGGGAAAUUUAAUAGUGUCUCCCAGUCUGCUCAUGGGAAGCCCGGAGGCCUACAGUCUUUCCCCUAGUUCUGCUGUGAGCUAGCUCUGGGACCCUGGGCUACUCCAGUUUCC